GACGAACGCUGGCGGCGUGCUUAACACAUGCAAGUCGAACGGAAAGGCCUGCUUUCCCUUGUGGAUUGCGGGUACUCGAGUGGCGAACGGGUGAGUAACACGUGAGUGAUCUGCCCCCAACUUGGGUAUAAGCCUGGGAAACUGGGUCUAAUUCCCGAUAGGACUGCAGGGUGGUGCCUGUGGUGGAAAACGAUUUUCUAGUGGUUGGGGAUGAGCUCGCGGCCUAUCAGCUUGUUGGUGGGGUAAUGGCCUACCAAGGCGGCGACGGGUAGCCGGCCUGGGAGGGCGGGCGGGCGCAGUGGGACGGAGAUACGGCCCAGACGCCUACGGGCGGCAGCCGUGGGGAAGAUUGCACAAGGGGCGGAAGCCUGAUGCAGGGACGCCGCGUGGGGGAUGACGGCCUUCGGGUUGUAAACUCCUUGCGACCGCGAGGAAGCCACCUGGUUGGAAGGGUGGUGACGGUAGUGGUAGAAGAAGCACCGGCUAACUACGUG
RNAcentral lists this ribosomal RNA (494 nucleotides) under uncultured bacterium. RNAcentral's name for it is "partial 16S ribosomal RNA". It matches the Rfam family "Bacterial small subunit ribosomal RNA", at positions 28 to 507 of the family's 1533-position model. The record is from RNAcentral.